GUAUUGCUGAAGAGUCUCAUAUUGGGACGAAACGGCCGUCCAGUGC
This is a non-coding RNA of Schistosoma margrebowiei, 46 nucleotides long. Lineage: Eukaryota; Metazoa; Platyhelminthes; Trematoda; Strigeidida; Schistosomatidae. The record is from Rfam.